CUUUCAACAACGGAUCUCUUGGUUCUGGCAUCGAUGAAGAACGCAGCGAAAUGCGAUAAGUAAUGUGAAUUGCAGAAUUCAGUGAAUCAUCGAAUCUUUGAACGCACAUUGCGCCCUCUGGUAUUCCGGGGGGCAUGCCUGGUCCAGCGUAAUU
RNAcentral lists this ribosomal RNA (154 nucleotides) under Xanthoria streimannii. Its description in RNAcentral is "5.8S ribosomal RNA". It matches the Rfam family "5.8S ribosomal RNA". From Rfam's summary of the family: 5.8S ribosomal RNA (5.8S rRNA) is a component of the large subunit of the eukaryotic ribosome. It is transcribed by RNA polymerase I as part of the 45S precursor that also contains 18S and 28S rRNA. Functionally, it is thought that 5.8S rRNA may be involved in ribosome translocation. The record is from RNAcentral. Lineage: Eukaryota; Fungi; Ascomycota; Lecanoromycetes; Teloschistales; Teloschistaceae.